CUAAUCUGAAAAUCUAGACCUUGGUCCAUAAUUUCUCCAAACUCCCCCACCUGGACAUCCCCAUAUCUAAACCCUCCCAAACAAAUUCAAACAACUCCGCCUAUCUCUCCCUAUACCCAACCUCACACUGUCUCGGUGUCUCCGUCUUUCCUCCACCAGCACGGCCGCUAACUGUGCGCUCCUCCCUCUAUCCGCCACCCUAUCUUAUCCGAGUUCUUCUAUGUUUCUCCUCCGUCUUUGUUAAGGAUAUUGGGUUGUGCGCAAUUUCAGCCACCCAUUGUGGCGCUUUAAGAAUCAAUGGCAACGAGUCCUGGAUCGAUGGUAGUGGUGGCUUGCCGUGCUGUUUUGAGCAACAACCACAUGACAGUGCUUGUCACGCGCCACGGAGUACAACUUCAUGGGCCGCCUGCUGUGUGUGUCGCGAGCAACAUAUUUGCAUUACGUAUCUCUGCUGCCUUCAAGCCUUCUCGGCGGCAUUACACCACUGCUCCUCUUGUUGAAGGUGCGAUGCGAACAGAUGGUGCUGUGAGUUUAAGAGGAGUGUCUCUUACUUUAGUAGCUGCAGAGAAGGAAGAAGCUAAAGCUGUUUUGACGUUAUUUCUGAAAAAACAGGGAUUGGGCAGUGCUGCUGCAUCAAGAACCAUAAACAAGUCAGAUCUUUUCAUUGACCACCUCGUGUCUCAGCUUCACUCCAUUCAUAAAUCUCGGUAUCUCGUAGGUAGGGAGUUGUCAACCCUUGAAAUCAGAGAUGCUCUUAUUCCUUACCUUGAAAACCUGCAACAAGAGCAUGGAAGUAAUUUGGUUGAUGUCGUGGAGAACUUUCCAAAUACGCCUGUUAAAGAAAAAGUGACAGCAGAAGUUGUCUCCCCAAAUGUAACUUUAGAAUCAAAAAAGAUGUCUGAUGAGACUGUUAAGUCCAGGAAGCUUAAGGCUAUGGCUCGGGUUAGUGGGUCGGUCCCAACAGAGAAGCUUCCCCAGCAUGUUAUUUAUCUCAUUGAACUCGGGAUGGAUCUUGAAGAUAUCCAGCAGGUUACUCGAAAGUUCCCAGCUUUUGCCUAUUACAGUUUGGAUGGAAAAGUCAGGCCUGUGGUUGAGUUUCUUCUUGAACUUGGUAUUCCAAAAUCUGAAAUACCCAUUAUUCUCCGUAAGAGACCCCAAUUAUGUGGAAUCAGUCUUUAUGAAAACCUAAUACCCACCAUGAAGUUCUUGGAGAGCUUGGGUUUGGACAAGAAAAAAUGGGCAAAAGUGAUAUACCGAUUUCCACCCCUUCUUACCUAUAGCAGGCAAAAGUUAAUGUCAACAGUUGAUUUCCUAUAUGAAAUGGGUCUCACAGCACAGGAUGUUGGCAAGAUUCUGACACGUUGCCCAAACAUAAUAAGCUAUAGUGUUGAGGAGAACUUACGGCCAACAGCAGAGUAUUUUUCUUUGUUAGGUAUAAAUGUUGCUGUUGUUCUGCAAAGAUCACCGCAGACUUUUGGACUAAGCAUCGAAGGAAACUUAAAGCCUAUAACAGCAUUUUUCUUGGACAAGGGCUAUAGUUUGGAGGAUCUUAGGACCAUGAUCCAAAGAUAUGGAACCCUGUAUACUUUUAGCUUGGUCGGGAACAUGAUACCGAAAUGGAAUUUCUUUUUAACCAUGGACUAUCCCCAAUCAGAACUUGUCAAGUUUCCCCAAUUUUUUGGUUAUAGUUUGGAAGAAAGGAUUAAGCCAAGGUAUGCUCUCGUCAGGCAAUAUGGGGUGAAGUUGCUUCUGAACCAAGUGUUAUCUUUAUCAAGUGAUGACCUUGAAAAGGUUUUGAAAAGGAAGUUGAAACGAUAUGGCGGACAGGUUCUAACGGAAUAGCCUGAAUUGGAUGCUGUAUUCUUUGACAUGUUUGUCAUGACGAAGUUGCUCAUAUAGACGACUUUAUUAGGGGAUUUUGUUAGCUGACUGGGAGAAUGUUUGAGGUACUAGAAUGACUGUUUGGAAAAUGUACUCUGAUUGAUCUAGCACUCUUUAGAGUCGAAUUGUGAGCAGAAUAAAUCUGACUGUCCCAAAGACCCAGACUGUGGGUUCUUGUUGCUCUCUGAAUCUUUUUGCAACCUUAAAUGUUACUCUGGCCAUCCCAUGUAUUCAUUCGCUAAUGGCACAGGGAUUGAGGAGAGAGAAAAAUAGGUUAGUGGAUGUUGGCCCAACUUUUAUGCGAAGUAAUGAAGUUUCUUACUAAAUGGAGAACGUAUACUUGAAUACGGGACAGCCAUUUUUGGUGUUCCAUGCUUCUGAAUUCCAGGCAGGAGGCUAGAGUUCAAUCUUCGCCAGACUCACUCUUGGGGAAUCCCCUUACGUCCCUCAGGGGUGGGUCUAUUAAUCUGAUUUAAAAAAAAGAUGCUUCAGUAUGGGAUGGAGUAAGUAUUUCUUAACUUGCUUUUUCUUCUGCUUAUACACACAUGGUGCACAGCCGCACAUUGUCUCUUUGAUGAUUCAAGUAAUCAGUAAGCAGUGACACCUUCUUAAGUAUUUAAUAUGCACAUCUUGAACUCAUUAGCAGUGGGGUCGAGUCCGUCCUUUUCACUAUAGGCUACAUUGUGAUAUUUGGUUCAGAAAAAUUGAGAAAAAUGAUGUUUUAGUCCAAUGGGGUGAGUUGUGUACUAUAUUUCCUUGGUUAUCCUAUAUGAUCUUUGGCCUGCAAUUGGUGUACCUAUGAAACAUGCAUGAGUUCGGCUAAGCAAUGCCGAGCUGAUUCGAACAAUAUUCCAGAUUAUAAAGAUUACUGGUUUUGUGGUAUCUGAAGUUCUGAAUAACGGUUCUCAGAAAGUGUAAGUGGCUUUAUGCUUAGAAUGGUAGAAAUGCAUCAAAUUCAAGUGUGCCCGUAUGUGUGAAUUAAGACACAGGAGACGAAAAGUCCUCUUAACGAGCUAAUCAUAUUUCCACUCCCCUGUUGGUCUUUCACACGGUAUUAUUUACUGAUAAUAACCCAAGUUUAAUUUAAGAAAGGGAUGUACAUGAAUUUCCCAAGAUUUGCAUUCCUCAUGUAGUCAAUGUUACUCCUUAACUGAUACAUAAAAGUCUGAAGUACAAAUACAGGGGUGUUCUGUUGCUGUAACCGACAUGAAAUCCUGAACCAUGUCUUUGUCAUCACGAUUGACGAAUAAAA
Molecule: RNA transcript, 3133 nt
Organism: Spinacia oleracea (spinach)
Lineage: Eukaryota; Viridiplantae; Streptophyta; Magnoliopsida; Caryophyllales; Amaranthaceae
Gene name: transcription termination factor MTERF5, chloroplastic
Exons: 5
Source: RefSeq, a predicted model, not a curated record